Molecule: ribosomal RNA, 1229 nt
Filed under: uncultured Halomonas sp.
Lineage: Bacteria; Pseudomonadati; Pseudomonadota; Gammaproteobacteria; Oceanospirillales; Halomonadaceae
Description: bacterial SSU rRNA
Rfam family: Bacterial small subunit ribosomal RNA
Source: RNAcentral
CCAGGCUAAUACCGCAUACGUCCUACGGGAGAAAGGGGGCUUCGGCUCCCGCUAUUGGAUGAGCCUAUGUCGGAUUAGCUAGUUGGUGAGGUAAAGGCUCACCAAGGCAACGAUCCGUAGCUGGUCUGAGAGGAUGAUCAGCCACAUCGGGACUGAGACACGGCCCGAACUCCUACGGGAGGCAGCAGUGGGGAAUAUUGGACAAUGGGGGCAACCCUGAUCCAGCCAUGCCGCGUGUGUGAAGAAGGCCCUCGGGUUGUAAAGCACUUUCAGCGAGGAAGAACGCCUAUCGGUUAAUACCCGGUAGGAAAGACAUCACUCGCAGAAGAAGCACCGGCUAACUCCGUGCCAGCAGCCGCGGUAAUACGGAGGGUGCAAGCGUUAAUCGGAAUUACUGGGCGUAAAGCGCGCGUAGGUGGCUUGAUAAGCCGGUUGUGAAAGCCCCGGGCUCAACCUGGGAACGGCAUCCGGAACUGUCAGGCUAGAGUGCAGGAGAGGAAGGUAGAAUUCCCGGUGUAGCGGUGAAAUGCGUAGAGAUCGGGAGGAAUACCAGUGGCGAAGGCGGCCUUCUGGACUGACACUGACACUGAGGUGCGAAAGCGUGGGUAGCAAACAGGAUUAGAUACCCUGGUAGUCCACGCCGUAAACGAUGUCGACCAGCCGUUGGGUGCCUAGAGCACUUUGUGGCGAAGUUAACGCGAUAAGUCGACCGCCUGGGGAGUACGGCCGCAAGGUUAAAACUCAAAUGAAUUGACGGGGGCCCGCACAAGCGGUGGAGCAUGUGGUUUAAUUCGAUGCAACGCGAAGAACCUUACCUACCCUUGACAUCUACAGAAGCCGGAAGAGAUUCUGGUGUGCCUUCGGGAACUGUAAGACAGGUGCUGCAUGGCUGUCGUCAGCUCGUGUUGUGAAAUGUUGGGUUAAGUCCCGUAACGAGCGCAACCCUUGUCCUUAUUUGCCAGCGAGUAAUGUCGGGAACUCUAAGGAGACUGCCGGUGACAAACCGGAGGAAGGUGGGGACGACGUCAAGUCAUCAUGGCCCUUACGGGUAGGGCUACACACGUGCUACAAUGGCCGGUACAAAGGGCUGCGAGCUCGCGAGAGUCAGCGAAUCCCUUAAAGCCGGUCUCAGUCCGGAUCGGAGUCUGCAACUCGACUCCGUGAAGUCGGAAUCGCUAGUAAUCGUGAAUCAGAAUGUCACGGUGAAUACGUUCCCGGGCCUUGUACAC